UUCUUUCUGGCCUCAAAUCAG
RNAcentral lists this ribosomal RNA (21 nucleotides) under Meira sp. 13 YHW-2013. Its description in RNAcentral is "partial 28S ribosomal RNA". The record is from RNAcentral. Lineage: Eukaryota; Fungi; Basidiomycota; Exobasidiomycetes; Exobasidiales; Brachybasidiaceae.